Molecule: ribosomal RNA, 568 nt
Filed under: fungal sp.
Lineage: Eukaryota; Fungi
Description: partial large subunit ribosomal RNA
Rfam family: Eukaryotic large subunit ribosomal RNA
Source: RNAcentral
AAACCAACAGGGAUUACCUCAGUAACGGCGAGUGAAGCGGUAACAGCUCAAAUUUGAAAUCUGGCCGCAAGGUCCGAGUUGUAAUUUGUAGAGGAAACUUCGGGCGCGGUCCGGUCUAAGUUCAUUGGAACAUGACGUCAUAGAGGGUGAGAAUCCCGUAUGUGACUGGGUGCCGCUGUCCAUGUGAAGCUCCUUCGACGAGUCGAGUUGUUUGGGAAUGCAGCUCUAAAUGGGUGGUAUAUUUCAUCUAAAGCUAAAUAUUGGCCAGAGACCGAUAGCGCACAAGUAGAGUGAUCGAAAGAUGAAAAGCACUUUGGAAAGAGAGUUAAACAGUACGUGAAAUUGUUGAAAGGGAAGCGCUUGCAACCAGACUUGCGCCCUAGUAAUCAUCCGGUGUUCUCACCGGUGCACUUGCUAGGGCUCAGGCCAGCAUCGGUUUCGGCGGUUGGAUAAAGGCAUUGGGAAUGUAGCUUCCUUCGGGGAGUGUUAUAGCCCUUUGUGCAAUGCAGCCCGCUGGGACCGAGGACCGCGCUUCGGCUAGGAUGCUGGCGUAAUGGUUGUAAGCGAC